CUUUGGUCUUGAAUUCACCAUUUCCCCCUCUAGCUGUUUCCAUCAGUGCCCAAGGGUUUGUUUCCCUUUCCUUCUUCCAUUCUGCCAUUUUAAACAUUUCUCCUGUGUUUUUGUGGGAAUUCUGGGAAGCCCUCAGGUUGUCUGAUAAAUGCUGUCCAGUAAAUAUAUUCUCUUGCCUUCUGCGAUGCAAAAUUACUUUCCUGCUUGUCUUCCCAGUGGACAAAUAUGAAAAUCAAUGA
RNAcentral lists this long non-coding RNA (239 nucleotides) under Cyanistes caeruleus (blue tit). Its description in RNAcentral is "lncRNA (ENSCCEG00000000887.1)". The record is from RNAcentral. Lineage: Eukaryota; Metazoa; Chordata; Aves; Passeriformes; Paridae.